This is a long non-coding RNA of Quercus robur (English oak), 2373 nucleotides long. RefSeq lists it as uncharacterized. The record is from RefSeq and is a predicted model, not a curated record. Lineage: Eukaryota; Viridiplantae; Streptophyta; Magnoliopsida; Fagales; Fagaceae. The transcript is spliced from 3 exons.
GUCUUUUAUCACUCACAGUCUCUGGUGUCUCUCUUACGCUCUCUCAAUCUCUAUCUGUUCUUUUCCAGGUUCUGCAAAGCCUAAAACCAAAAGGAAAGAAAGAAGGAGAAGUUGCAGGAGGUUCAAGUUGAGCUCGAAAAUGUUUUAUUUUUCAACAACUUUUAUGUUUAUGAUGACCGUAUUGUUGAUUUCCAUGGUGUUAUUGUAGCCAUAGAGUUUUUUUUUUUUUUUUUUUUCAUUGCAAUGACUAUUACCCUGUUGUAUGUAUGUGUGUUUUAUUAUUGUCGUGGUCAUGGUGACCUUCAUUGUUGAUUCCCAUGGUGUUAAUGUUUGUUUGGUUGACUUUCAAUUGGGAUGUAGAAAAUGAGUUAUUUUAUUUUAUUUUGGGCUGAUUGGGCAGUGGCUUUUAUAAUUGUUGUGGUCGUGGUGACCAUCAUUAUUGAUUUCAAAGGUGUAAAUGUGGAUUGGAUUUGUUUAUAUAGAUUUGUAGAGAGGAUUUUUUGUUGCUGUUGUUGUUGAUUGCAAUGGCUACAUAUUUAGUGCUCUUUCUUCUGCUAUAUUAUUAGUAAAUUGUGAAUCUUUAGCAUUAUUCUGUUGUAUGUACAUGAAUCUUUAGCUUGUUUCAUGUGAUUUCAAACAAUUUCCUUUCAUGUUAGAAAUACAAUGGUGGAUACCCUUUUCUGUGAUUAACUAGAAAAAUCGGAUCAAGAUACUUGUAAGUGGAGUCUUGACUGUUUGUUUGAUCAUAUAGUACAGUUGGAAGGUAGUUAAUGCCAAGGGUAAAUUACAUUUUCAAUGUUCAGAUAUUAUAAAUCAUUUCAAACGAUUACAUCUAAAAUCAGCAAUAAUGCCUUCCUAUGCUUUCAAUCUAUGAAAUUGUUGCCUUUCAUUCUAGCCUUUUGCAUUGUAUCAAUAGCUUUGUAUGAGGAUGUUACUAUUAGGAAUUAAAUAUUACAAUGGAAAGUUCAGAUUCAUCAGACUGUUCACUUUGAAGUACAAUGAAGAGUUUUCCAUUCUUAUAUACAGUUCUUAAAAUGUUGCCAUUUUGGUAUUGCAAUUUCAAAAUAUGAUAAGGUGAUGUUAGAGAUCUUCUAACUCACUGGGUGGGUCAAACAGAUUAAAAUAGACAGCAGUUCUUAAUCUUGGGUAGGGAAGACCAGAUUGGAGUAUAAUAUAGCCUGGCUAGAAUGAUGGAGACACAUUGACCAUUCAACAAUUACAAAUCAGGAAGGAGGGCAAUGUGAGAAGAAGAUAUCAAUGUUUUAAUUUAAUUGAGGAUGAUAUGGAAAAGAUUAAAGGAUUUCCAAAAGAUUGCACUGUUCCUUUUAGAGAAAAGUUAAUCGUGGCUGCGGUAUUUAACCCCGAGGAUCUUCACUUGAGUUCUGCUGAAAGGAAGCUUGCUCAGGCUUAAAAUGAAAAGCAAGUCCUUUCACUGCCUCAGCACAAUUUUUAUAGGGUAUUUUGGUAUGUGCUUUGCACUUAUGAGACAAAGCAACAGAAAUUAUGCCAGGGUAAGCAAACUCACAGAAUGCCUCGAUACAUACUGUGCUUGGUUAUAUCAAUGUGUUAGUUUGGACAAGACUGGGAUUUUUUGCUUCAAAAGGAGUUCACAACCAGUUUCUUAAGGAAAUCUAGAAUGUGUUUGGACUAGAGAAACUCUGUCAGACACAAAUAUGUGGGAGUCCUACUGUUCCUCUCUAACAACAAAAAGAAGGAUUUUGCUUAUUUUAUAGUGGCUAGAAGGCAAAACAAGUGGUUGGAAAAACCAGAAUCUAUCCCUGCGCUGGACGGGUCUUCCUUAACAAUGCUGUGGCAUAGACCACUCCAUCCUAUACCAUGACUGCAUCAGCAUUUAUCCUUCCCAAGGGACUUUGAGCAGUUGGAUGCAAUUUUUAACUAAAUUUUGGUGGAACCCGGAAAGAUUCCAACAAGUUUCAAACACCUAUGGCUGGGUCAAAUUUAUGUCAAUCAGAAAAUCAGGCGGCCGGGAUUUAGAAGAUUUGGAGAUUUCAAUGUAGUAAAAAUGGCUUGGAUGGUCUUAACCUCGAAGAACGGCCUAUGCACCAAACUUCUGGUUUCAAAAUAUAAGGGAGAAGCAAACUAGCUAAAUUGCAAGAACUCUCACAAAGCUUCAUGGACAUGGUGCAAUAUUGAAGAAGCCGAAAAGGUAAUACCAAAGGAGCCUGCAUUCAAAUUGGCAAUGGAAAUAGCAAUAGAAUCUGGGAGAACCCUUGGUUCCCAUACUUUCAGGAUUCAUUCCCAAACCCAGAAGUGAUGAAGCUCAACCAACUUAUCUGUUGGUAUCUCAGUUAAUGCAGCAAGACCAAAUAUGGCUUGGCAUCCAAAAAAUUCUGUCAACUUUUGAUCCCCUAA